RNAcentral lists this long non-coding RNA (591 nucleotides) under Mytilus galloprovincialis (Mediterranean mussel). The record is from RNAcentral. Lineage: Eukaryota; Metazoa; Mollusca; Bivalvia; Mytilida; Mytilidae.
GUUCGUUUGAAAUAACCAGCACAAUUGACUAUAUAAAUAAAUAUUGAUUCCUUUUAAUCAUAAAAUAAAACACACAUGAAAUGGAUGAAUCACAAAUACGAGCUGCUAGAGAAUGCGGAUCUUGUUUUAAAAGAUGUGGUGAUAGUUUAAAUGAUAAGUACCAGAACAUACAGAGCAGACAGAACAGUCCAUCAUCUUCUUUUUUGUCAGAUUUGAGUUGUGUAGUUGAAAAAACAGUGAGACAUUUGAUGUUUUUCACAGCGACGGUGGCUAAAUUACGAGAAUACACAAACUAGAAAGACAACAAUCGUUCACAAAAUCAGGAAGAAACGGGAAUUCGAAUUCCAGUCACUGUUGGACUUUAUCUGUGAGAGACAAAAUAAACGUACCUUAUCUUGUGAAUAUAUAUUUCAAAUAUCCAGAUAAUAACAAUGCAAGGCAUUUUAUCAAUCAAAACAGAACAAUGAGGUGUCUAAGCAGGUGUCCAUCUGAAGUCAGGUACAGGCAAAAAACCCAUAUUUGGAUGUCAGUGUAUUCACUUAUAUUUUAUACUGUUUAUAUUGCUCUCCUAUGUUUCAUUGAAACCUGAAC